ACGAACGCUGGCGGCGUGCUUAACACAUGCAAGUCAGGGGGCCCGCAAGGGUCACCGGCGAACGGGUGCGUAACACGUGAGCGACCUGCCCUGGUGUGGGGGAUAGCCGGCCCAACGGCCGGGUAAUACCGCAUACGGCUCUGGCUUGGAAGCCAGGAGCGAAACCCGCAAGGGGCGCUAGGAGGGGCUCGCGGCCUAUCAGCUAGUUGGUGCGGUAACGGCGCACCAAGGCUUUGACGGGUAGCUGGUCUGAGAGGAUGGCCAGCCACAUUGGGACUGAGAAACGGCCCAGACUCCUACGGGAGGCAGCAGUGGGGAAUCUUGCGCAAUGGCCGAAAGGCUGACGCAGCGACGCCGCGUGGGGGAUGAAGGCCUUCGGGUUGUAAACCCCUGUUGCUCGGGACGAACAACACCUUUCGAGGUGUCUGACGGUACCGGGUGAGGAAGCACCGGCUAACUCUGU
Molecule: ribosomal RNA, 463 nt
Filed under: uncultured bacterium
Lineage: Bacteria
Description: bacterial SSU rRNA
Rfam family: Bacterial small subunit ribosomal RNA
Source: RNAcentral